RNAcentral lists this ribosomal RNA (775 nucleotides) under uncultured bacterium. RNAcentral describes it as "bacterial SSU rRNA". It matches the Rfam family "Bacterial small subunit ribosomal RNA", at positions 8 to 830 of the family's 1533-position model. The record is from RNAcentral.
AGAGUUUGAUCAUGGCUCAGAACGAACGCUGGCGGCAGGCCUAACACAUGCAAGUCGAGCGAAGACUUCGGUCUUAGCGGCGGACGGGUGAGUAACGCGUGGGAACGUGCCCUUCACUACGGAAUAGUCCCGGGAAACUGGGUUUAAUACCGUAUACGCCCUUCGGGGGAAAGAAUUUCGGUGAAGGAUCGGCCCGCGUCUGAUUAGGUAGUUGGUGGGGUAAUGGCCUACCAAGCCGACGAUCAGUAGCUGGUUUGAGAGGAUGAUCAGCCACACUGGGACUGAGACACGGCCCAGACUCCUACGGGAGGCAGCAGUGGGGAAUCUUAGACAAUGGGGGAAACCCUGAUCUAGCCAUGCCGCGUGAGUGACGAAGGCCCUAGGGUCGUAAAGCUCUUUCACCCGUGAAGAUAAUGACGGUAGCGGGAGAAGAAACCCCGGCUAACUCCGUGCCAGCAGCCGCGGUAAUACGGAGGGGGUUAGCGUUGUUCGGAAUUACUGGGCGUAAAGCGCGCGUAGGCGGGCUGUUAAGUCGGGGGUGAAAUCCCGGGGCUCAACCCCGGAACUGCCUCCGAUACUGGCAGCCUAGAGUUCGAGAGAGGUGAGUGGAACUCCGAGUGUAGAGGUGAAAUUCGUAGAUAUUCGGAAGAACACCAGUGGCGAAGGCGGCUCACUGGCUCGAUACUGACGCUGAGGUGCGAAAGUGUGGGGAGCAAACAGGAUUAGAUACCCUGGUAGUCCACACCGUAAACGAUGAAUGCCAGUCGUCGGNCAG